This 253-nucleotide ribosomal RNA is filed under the name uncultured bacterium. RNAcentral describes it as "partial 16S ribosomal RNA". It matches the Rfam family "Bacterial small subunit ribosomal RNA", at positions 524 to 776 of the family's 1533-position model. The record is from RNAcentral.
CACGUAGGGCGCAAGCGUUGUCCGGAAUUAUUGGGCGUAAAGAGCUCGUAGGCGGUCUGUUGCGUCCGCUGUGAAAACUCGGGGCUUAACCCCGAGCCUGCAGUGGAUACGGGCAGACUAGAGGUAGGUAGGGGAGAAUGGAAUUCCCGGUGUAGUGGUGAAAUGCGUAGAUAUCGGGAGGAACACCAGUGGCGAAAGCGGCUACCUGGACCAUACUUGACGCUGAGGCGCGAAAGCUAGGGGAGCAAACGGG